ACAAUAUAAUGGGAUGAUUUAUAAGGUGGAAGAUGAUAUACUCUACUAAAUGUUGCUACAUUUUGCUAUUGACUUGUAUGAUAUUCCCAUAUUGGCAGUAGUUAUGCAAUUUUUAAGUGAAUGUAUUUGCACCUGCGUAUAAGGCUACUAUCAUGCUUAAUGUGUUUCUCUAUCUGAACCUCUUUGAUAGAGAGGGGGAGAGAGUCAGCGACAAGUAUUCUUUCUUAGUUGUCCUCAGUAACCAUAAGGGUUACUUUUACAACAUCUUAUAUGCAAAAGCAGAAGAAAGAUCAUGUCACCUAUACUGCAGCGGAACAAAAUUUUGUUCUGAACUGAACAGUAAUCUGAAGCCAUGCUUAGGUUGUGUCCCCAAAUCUGUCAUUGUGACACUAUAACUACAAUUGGAUGGAAGGGUUGGUAACUCAAAAUCAAAUCCCAAAUCCUCUUGAACAGUUUUAAAUCUUAUCUACACCCAUUUCUCAGUGUCACAUUGCUUUAACAAUCACUUGAACUGUAAAGAUUUAAGAUUUACAACAAUAAAAACCCCACAUAAAGUGCAGUAAUAUCAGAUUCUGUCUAAUUUGCUCUCCAAUCCGGCUACUACCUUUUGUUUGUCUCUAGCUGGCGAUGUAUGUAGUCCAGAACAAACUUUCCGCCUCUUUCUGACAUUAUAUGAAGCAUAAUGUAUUUGGUCAUUACAAAUCUAGUCAUAGAAUUCAUAACAGACAUGUACUGUCACAUACACGUGUACUCCAUGUUCUACUUCUAGUUAUACGGUUUAUACCAAUCUACUGCUAAUGUAAUUGCUUUCACAAGCAUGGGGUCUAUAGAAACAUCUCUUCGCAGAGACAUACAUAGAAGUGGAAAGAAAUAGACACAAUAAAAAAGAAAUGUGAAAUAAGAGAAAAGGAAAUAAAAGUUUACAAUAAACACCCUUUCUGAUGUUCCUCGCAUUCUGGUUCUCAUUAUUUUUAUUAGCACCUGCCUAUACGUACGCUAUGCUAGAAAUGCAGAGGAAACUACAUAAGACUUUUGUGCCACAAAAGAGGAGAGUUUGACAUGUUCUAUCCUCUCUCAAGGUCACAUUUAAAGAUAUUUCUUUUCCUACUUCUGCAAGGAGGUCCAUGCCAUGCCUUAUUUGUUUCAACACGCAAUACUAAUCUAGUCUUCCUGAGUCUUUCAUCUAUUCGUUCUUCUAAAGGUCAAAAAGCAACAUAGAAAGUGUGUAUAAGACCUUUCCCUUAGAUAUUAUAGCUACUACAAAAUAAUUCAACACGAAAGCAAUAAUUUCUUUAUACUGAUGAAUAGGAUUUGAAAACAAAUUUAACAAUUCAUUAGGACGUUGUACCGGAAACAGCCCAACCCAGUAUCUUAUAGUAAUAUUGGGGGGGGGGGGGGGGGGGGGGUCGGUUACAGUCUUCUCUUCUAGAUUCAAUUGUNNNNNNNNNNNNNNNNNNNNNNNNNGANGGGGGGGGCUUAACAGNCUUCUCUUCAGUAUUCAAUUGAUGUUACGUCAGUUAAAGUUUAAGGAAUUCUAGAGGAAAAAAUUUCUUUGGACAACAUUCUAAAGCUUACCAUGCAUUACUGGUUUUCAUUCUGCAAUGGCAACAUUAUUGCUCUUUUUGAAAGGCAGAUAGUAGGUAUUCCCAUGUCUUCAUGACCAUUCACCCAUUACUAGUGAUUAGGAAAAAAUCCGAACAAUGGCUACUUGCCUAGAGAAAAUAAUAUGAUAUUUACAUAACUUGCUUUCUUAUAAACAAUGAGAACAUGCUUUCUUUAAACAAAAUUGACUCAGCAAUUUGAUCCAUACUGAUUGAUGAAUGAAGCUAGAAUAACAGGAGGAAGAGAAAAACCUAUAUGUAGGUCCCAAUUUCACUGGGAUGUUGUUGUUGUUGUUGUAGGUCCCAAUUUCAGAGCGAACUCAAUAACAGCAGCCAUUCACUUUGUUAAGCUUUUUCAUGCAAUUAAGCUCAAGUAACUAGGAGAAAAAAGAAGAAAAACUACAAUUUAGGCCGUUAUACAUUAGUGAGAGGCUUGAUGAACAUUGACCGAUUUAAUUGUUUCUGUCCUAAUUCACAAAGUAGAUAAUUAUUAGCACGACAAGUAUGGGUGAAGUUGAUGCAAUGUGAAACUUCUAGAUAUAGAAUAAAUUUUCCUCUUUUUUUUCAUGUGAUGAGUGUCUGCCUAGGAUAGAUGAUAAAGAAAACAGAGCAACUGGAACUUCAUAACAACUUUAUGAUACUGCAAUGAUCAAUGUAUAUGAAUACCUUUCAAGUCAGCACAUCAAUCAGACAAAUCUGAACAGUUUUGCUAUUUUGGCAGCAUGAAAUCGGUGAUUGAAAGAUACAACAAAGCAAAGGAGGAGACUCAUAAAUUGGGAGAUCCAAUUUCCGAGGUCAAGGUAGGUUUUGCUAGCUAAUUUGCAGUCAACUAGUCAAAGGAAAUAAAGCAUAAUAGUUUCCUGCAUACUUGUUAAAUAGACGUAAGGCCUAACUCAACCCAAAAGCUAGCUCAAGAGGUGAGGAUUGCUCAAGUCCAUAUAAGGAGACCACUCAUCCCCUUCAUUGUCGAUGUGGGACUCAACAUCCCCUCUCAAGCCUAGGACUGGACAUCUGUAGCGUGGACAAUUAUGGGGCCUAACAUCGGAAAAUCGGGAUGGGUCCUGCUCUGAUACCAUAUGGAACAACCCAUCCCGCUAGUGAUAUUAUCCGCUUUCGGCCUAGGCCUUCACGGGUUUAAAACGCGUCACUAGAGUCUAAGGCAUGUCUACUUAUAUAGACAACAUCUCUCUCGUAUUUUGUUGAUGUGAAAUUUGCCUAGGGUGUUAAGGACUCAGUUUACCCCACCACCGUUCAAGGUUGCACGCGGAGUGACUCUGAUACCAUGUUAAUAGGACAUUGGGCCUAAAUCAACUCCAAAAGCUAGCUCAAGAGGUGAGGAUUGCCCAAGUCCAUAUAAGGAGACCAUCCAUCCCCUUCAUUAUCGAUGUGGGACUCAACACUCCUAUUAAUUGUACAUUAUUUAUGAAAUACCAAAAAGAACUUCCUUUCAUGCUAAAAUCCUUAGGGUUCUCUUGUCCUCCAAGCAUAGUGUCUAAAUUAGAAUACACUCUGAAAAGAACAAAGUGGUAUGACCUCAGAAACAAAACCAGAGUCAUAAUUUGGUCUGCUAAGGAAAACAAAGAAUAGGACUAGGCAUUUGACUUUUCAGAAGAUUACAAGUCGUGGCACUAGCAGGGAAAAAGUACAUGACUUUAAAGCACUUAUUUUUAUAACUGUGGUGUCCGGGCCAACUUGCGUGCACCUCAACUAAUUCCACAAGGUACCUCUUAUCUUCCACCAACACAGGUACUGGGUAACUCUGUCCAUCAAGGCUUGGACAGAUGGAAAAAAAUCACCUACUGUUUUUACCUCCGCUGGGAUUUGAGCCUUUACAGCACAUUAUACUGGUAUCAAGCUUUUUUGACAACGUAAAAGAAUCAGGACUUUACAGCACAUUCUUUCAUGCAUCUGCAGUCUUCUUGUUUGUUUUGUGCACUAAAGCAUACAUCUUAUAAGCGUCUUUACUAUAGAAAGCUUUGCUUCUUUGAGUGCCAAAAUGUUUCUGCACAUCUAAAUUAUCUUGACGUUCAAUAGUAUCCAAGUUUAAGACACCAAAACUGUUAUUUUUACCUUAUAACCGGAGGCGGAGCCAGAAAAAUUUAUAGGUUCUAAACUUGCUAUCGAGCCCAUAACUCGUCUUAGUUACUGGAUUUACAAUUAAAUAACUAUGCACAUUUAAUGAAUUUCCUAACACGAAUACAGGGUCUAAGCAAAAGCUACUGAGUUCGUCUGAACCCUAGGUGAUACUCUAACUCCACCCCAACUUACAAUAACAACAAUAAUUAUGCCUCGAUCCCAAGCAAGUUGGUUUCGAUUAUAUGAAUCAUCACUUUUUCAUUUAAGCUAUGAUAAGAAUGGAUCUUUGGCCUAACUCAACCCAAAAGCUAGCUUGUGAGGUGAUGAUUGCCCAAGACCAUAUAAGGAGACCAAGAUACCCAUAACCCACCGAUGUGGGACACAACUCAACACCCCCCCCCCCUCUCAUGCCCAGGUCUGCAACUGGAGCGUGGACAACAUAAAUGGGGGCCCAACAUCGAUAACAAUAAAUUGGGAUGGGUCUGACUCUGAUACCAUGAUAAGAAUGGACCUUGGGCCUAACUCAACCCCAAAANN
This 4214-nucleotide long non-coding RNA is filed under the name Nicotiana tabacum (common tobacco). RNAcentral's name for it is "long non-coding RNA (NTAB_LNC000270)". Lineage: Eukaryota; Viridiplantae; Streptophyta; Magnoliopsida; Solanales; Solanaceae. The record is from RNAcentral.